UACGUAGGGUGCGAGCGUUGUCCGGAAUUAUUGGGCGUAAAGAGCUUGUAGGCGGUCUGUUGCGUCUGCUGUGAAAAUCCGGGGCUCAACCCCGGGCUUGCAGUGGGUACGGGCAGACUAGAGUGUGGUAGGGGAGACUGGAAUUCCUGGUGUAGCGGUGAAAUGCGCAGAUAUCAGGAGGAACACCGAUGGCGAAGGCAGGUCUCUGGGCCGCUACUGACGCUGAGAAGCGAAAGCAUGGGGAGCGAACAGG
RNAcentral lists this ribosomal RNA (253 nucleotides) under uncultured bacterium. RNAcentral's name for it is "partial 16S ribosomal RNA". It matches the Rfam family "Bacterial small subunit ribosomal RNA", at positions 524 to 776 of the family's 1533-position model. The record is from RNAcentral.